Non-coding RNA from Dipodomys ordii (Ord's kangaroo rat), 72 nucleotides. The record is from Rfam. Lineage: Eukaryota; Metazoa; Chordata; Mammalia; Rodentia; Heteromyidae.
GGGAAGUUGGCUCAGUGGUAGAGCGCUUGCCUCGCAUGCCAGAGGCCCGGGGUUCGAUUCCUCAGCACCACA